UACAGAGGUCCCAAGCGUUGUUCGGAUUCAUUGGGCGUAAAGGGUGCGUAGGCGGCGCGGUAAGUCGGGUGUGAAAUCUCGGAGCUUAACUCCGAAACUGCAUUCGAUACUGCCGUGCUUGAGGACUGGAGAGGAGACUGGAAUUUACGGUGUAGCGGUGAAAUUCGUAGAUAUCGAGAGGAACACCGGUGGCGAAGGCGGCCAACUGGACGAGUACUGACGCUGAGACACGAAAGCGUGGGGAGCAAACAGG
Molecule: ribosomal RNA, 253 nt
Filed under: uncultured bacterium
Lineage: Bacteria
Description: partial 16S ribosomal RNA
Rfam family: Bacterial small subunit ribosomal RNA
Source: RNAcentral